AAAUGAAUUGACGGGGGCCCGCACAAGCGGUGGAGCAUGUGGUUUAAUUCGAUGCAACGCGAAAAACCUUACCUACCCUUGACAUCCUUGGAAUCUUGUAGAGAUAUGAGAGUGCCUUCGGGAGCCAGGAGACAGGUGCUGCAUGGCUGUCGUCAGCUCGUGUCGUGAGAUGUUGGGUUAAGUCCCGUAACGAGCGCAACCCUUGUCCUUAGUUACUAACGCGUUAUGGCGAGGACUCUAGGGAGACUGCCGGUGAUAAACCGGAGGAAGGUGGGGAUGACGUCAAGUCAUCAUGGUCUUUAUGGGUAGGGCUACACACGUGCUACAAUGGGCAGUACAGAGGGUCGCCAAGUCGUGAGACGGAGCUAAUCUCUUAAAACUGUUCGUAGUCCGGAUUGGAGUCUGCAACUCGACUCCAUGAAGUUGGAAUCGCUAGUAAUCGCGAAUCAGCAUGUCGCGGUGAAUACGUUCUCGGGCCUUGUACACACCGCCCGU
RNAcentral lists this ribosomal RNA (495 nucleotides) under uncultured bacterium. RNAcentral describes it as "bacterial SSU rRNA". It matches the Rfam family "Bacterial small subunit ribosomal RNA", at positions 903 to 1397 of the family's 1533-position model. The record is from RNAcentral.